UGGCUGCUGGAAGUAGAAAUCGUUAUUAAGCGUCAGGAAGUCCUGGACGUUGAAUCCAAUAGCAUUGA
Molecule: ribosomal RNA, 68 nt
Filed under: Plasmodium falciparum (malaria parasite P. falciparum)
Lineage: Eukaryota; Apicomplexa; Aconoidasida; Haemosporida; Plasmodiidae
Also listed under: 3 other names
Description: small subunit ribosomal RNA
Source: RNAcentral